GAUGAAGAACGCAGCGAAAUGCGAUAAGUAAUGUGAACUGCAGAAUUCAGUGAAUCAUCGAAUCUUUGAACGCAUCUUGCGCUCCUUGGUAUUCUGAGGAGCAUGCCUGUUUGAGUGUCAUUAAAUUCUCAACUACACUGACUUUGAAUUGGUGUGGCUUGGAUUUGGGGGGAAAAUUGUUGUGGGCUUUUUGUAUAGUCUGCUCCCCUGAAAUUGAUUAGCGGUACCUUUGUGGAACUGUCUACAGGUGUGAUAAUUAUCUACAUCUUAGACAUCUGCUGGAAUGCUGCUUUCUAAACCUUACUUGUAUUGACAAUCUUGACCUCAAAUCAGGUAGGACUACCCGCUGAACUUAAGCAUAUCAAUAAGCGGAGGA
Molecule: unclassified non-coding RNA, 376 nt
Filed under: soil metagenome
Description: partial contains 5.8S ribosomal RNA, internal transcribed spacer 2, and large subunit ribosomal RNA
Rfam family: 5.8S ribosomal RNA (bases 1-120)
Source: RNAcentral